AUAUUUCACCAUGGGGGCAACCCUGAUGCAGCGACGCCGCGUGAGUGAAGAAGUAUUUCGGUAUGUACCGCUCUAUCAGCAGUGAAGCAAAUGACGGUACCUGACUAAGAAGCUCCGGCUAACUACGUGCCAGCAGCCGCGGUAAUACGUAGGGGGCAAGCGUUAUCCGGAUUCACUGGGUGUAAAGGGAGCGUAGGUGUCGAGUCAAGUCAGAUGUGAAAGCCCGGGGCUCAACCCCGGGAUUGCAUUUGAAACUGGUUUGCUAGAGUGCAGGAGAGGUAAGUGGAAUUCCUAGUGUAGCGGUGAAAUGCGUAGAUAUUAGGAGGAACACCAGUGGCGAAGGCGGCUUACUGGACUGUAACUGACACUGAGGCUCGAAAGCGUGGGGAGCAAACA
RNAcentral lists this ribosomal RNA (396 nucleotides) under uncultured bacterium. RNAcentral describes it as "partial 16S ribosomal RNA". It matches the Rfam family "Bacterial small subunit ribosomal RNA", at positions 361 to 774 of the family's 1533-position model. The record is from RNAcentral.